RNAcentral lists this ribosomal RNA (31 nucleotides) under Uwebraunia dekkeri. RNAcentral describes it as "partial 18S ribosomal RNA". Lineage: Eukaryota; Fungi; Ascomycota; Dothideomycetes; Mycosphaerellales; Dissoconiaceae. The record is from RNAcentral.
GUCUCCGUAGGUGACCUGCGGAGGGAUCAUU